CUACGGAGGGUGCGAGCGUUAAUCGGAAUUACUGGGCGUAAAGGGUGCGUAGGCGGCUUGAUAAGUCGGAUGUGAAAGCCCCGGGCUUAACCUGGGAAUUGCAUUCGAUACUGUCAGGCUAGAGUAUGUCAGAGGUUGGCGGAAUUCCUGGUGUAGCGGUGAAAUGCGUAGAUAUCAGGAGGAACACCAGUGGCGAAGGCGGCUAACUGGGACAAUACUGACGCUGAGGCACGAAAGCGUGGGGAGCAAACAGGAUUAGAUACCCUAGUAGUCC
This 274-nucleotide ribosomal RNA is filed under the name uncultured bacterium. RNAcentral describes it as "partial 16S ribosomal RNA". It matches the Rfam family "Bacterial small subunit ribosomal RNA", at positions 523 to 796 of the family's 1533-position model. The record is from RNAcentral.